RNAcentral lists this long non-coding RNA (633 nucleotides) under Brachypodium distachyon (stiff brome). RNAcentral's name for it is "long non-coding RNA (BDIS_LNC003376)". Lineage: Eukaryota; Viridiplantae; Streptophyta; Magnoliopsida; Poales; Poaceae. The record is from RNAcentral.
GGGAAGAAGCCCCUGACAGGUGGGCCCCACCUGUCAGCAGGUGCGGCGCGGCGCGAGCGAGCGGCUGGGCCGGCAGGACUGCGGCGCGCGCGAGGGAGUUGGGCCGGUUCGGCCCAAUUCGGCCGGGCCGGUCCGUUCCUCCCCCUUUUUUUUUCCCUUUUCUUUUCCUGUUUUUCUUAUUCCUUUGAUAUCUUUUGAUUUUGAACUCCAAAUUGGUCCAAAUAAAUUCCAGAAAAUUUGUAAAAUCAUGUUCUACCAUGAGACAACUUAUGGGAGUAGUUUCUCUUCAAAAUAAAAUAUAUAAAAAUACAUUUGCCCUAUAAAUGGCUUUAGGGCAACAUAUCUAUUUAAAUAAAAUACUUUUUCAACUCCAAAGAAUUACCCAAAAAUUAUGGGAUAGCUCAUAUGUGCAAUAAACCCCUUUUAUAUAUAAACCUUAAUGGUUUGAAGGUCGAAAGCUCAAAUAGGUGUAAACAAAAUCUUUUAAAGCCUUUUGUGAUUCAAAGUUGAAUUCAAACAUGCAAUUGUGGCAUGAUACUUAAUGAUGCAAUGCUCAUGUAAAAGUUUGAAAUUUUGGGAUGUUACACUAUUGGACACAGGGUAGAAACACCCAUGCUCCUAUUAACCUAAGCA